Molecule: ribosomal RNA, 163 nt
Filed under: Senecio pinnatifolius var. maritimus
Lineage: Eukaryota; Viridiplantae; Streptophyta; Magnoliopsida; Asterales; Asteraceae
Also listed under: 14 other names
Description: 5.8S ribosomal RNA
Rfam family: 5.8S ribosomal RNA
About the family: 5.8S ribosomal RNA (5.8S rRNA) is a component of the large subunit of the eukaryotic ribosome. It is transcribed by RNA polymerase I as part of the 45S precursor that also contains 18S and 28S rRNA.
Source: RNAcentral
AAACGACUCUCGGCAACGGAUAUCUUGGCUCACGCAUCGAUGAAGAACGUAGCAAAAUGCGAUACUUGGUGUGAAUUGCAGAAUCCCGUGAACCAUCGAGUUUUUGAACGCAAGUUGCGCCCGAAGCCUUUUGGCCGAGGGCACGUCUGCCUGGGCGUCACAC